RNAcentral lists this ribosomal RNA (496 nucleotides) under uncultured bacterium. RNAcentral describes it as "partial 16S ribosomal RNA". It matches the Rfam family "Bacterial small subunit ribosomal RNA", at positions 28 to 507 of the family's 1533-position model. The record is from RNAcentral.
GAUGAACGCUGGCGGCGUGCCUAAUACAUGCAAGUCGAGCGAACAGACGAGGAGCUUGCUCCUCUGACGUUAGCGGCGGACGGGUGAAUAACACUGGAUAACCUACCUAUAAGACUGGGAUAACUUCGGGAAACCGGAGCUAAUACCGGAUAAUAUAUUGAACCGCAUGGUUCAAUAGUGAAAGACGGUUUUGCUGUCACUUAUAGAUGGAUCCGCGCCGCAUUAGCUAGUUGGUAAGGUAACGGCUUACCAAGGCAACGAUGCGUAGCCGACCUGAGAGGGUGAUCGGCCACACUGGAACUGAGACACGGUCCAGACUCCUACGGGAGGCAGCAGUAGGGAAUCUUCCGCAAUGGGCGAAAGCCUGACGGAGCAACGCCGCGUGAGUGAUGAAGGUCUUCGGAUCGUAAAACUCUGUUAUUAGGGAAGAACAAAUGUGUAAGUAACUAUGCACGUCUUGACGGUACCUAAUCAGAAAGCCACGGCUAACUACGUG